UGGUGGGUAGUUUGACUGGGGCGGUCUCCUCCCAAAGAGUAACGGAGGAGCACGAAGGUGGGCUAAUCACGGUUGGACAUCGUGAGGUUAGUGCAAUGGCAUAAGCCCGCUUAACUGCGAGAAUGACGGUUCGAGCAGGUGCGAAAGCAGGUCAUAGUGAUCCGGUGGUUCUGAAUGGAAGGGCCAUCGCUCAACGGAUAAAAGGUACUCCGGGGAUAACAGGCUGAUACCGCCCAAGAGUUCAUAUCGACGGCGGUGUUUGGCACCUCGAUGUCGGCUCAUCACAUCCUGGGGCUGAAGUCGGUCCCAAGGGUAUGGCUGUUCGCCAUUUAAAGUGGUACGCGAGCUGGGUUUAGAACGUCGUGAGACAGUUCGGUCCCUAUCUGCCGUGGGCGUUGGAAGAUUGAAGGGGGCUGCUCCUAGUACGAGAGGACCGGAGUGGACGAACCUCUGGUGUUCGGGUUGUGUCGCCAGACGCAUUGCCCGGUAGCUAAGUUCGGAAUCGAUAACCGCUGAAAGCAUCUAAGCGGGAAGCGAGCCCUGAGAUGAGUCUUCCCUGAUACUUUAAGUAUCCUAAAGGGUUGUUC
RNAcentral lists this ribosomal RNA (587 nucleotides) under Vibrio vulnificus. RNAcentral's name for it is "partial 23S ribosomal RNA". It matches the Rfam family "Bacterial large subunit ribosomal RNA", at positions 2259 to 2840 of the family's 2925-position model. The record is from RNAcentral. Lineage: Bacteria; Pseudomonadati; Pseudomonadota; Gammaproteobacteria; Vibrionales; Vibrionaceae.